This 71-nucleotide transfer RNA is filed under the name Pectobacterium bacteriophage PM2. It matches the Rfam family "tRNA". Rfam says of the family: Transfer RNA (tRNA) molecules are approximately 80 nucleotides in length. Their secondary structure includes four short double-helical elements and three loops (D, anti-codon, and T loops). Lineage: Duplodnaviria; Heunggongvirae; Uroviricota; Caudoviricetes; Pantevenvirales; Straboviridae. The record is from Rfam by way of RNAcentral.
AGGUUCUUAGUAUAAUGGUAUUACCGUGAGCUCCAACCUCAUUGAUGUGGGUUCGAUUCCUACAGGGCCUG